Long non-coding RNA from Solanum tuberosum (potato), 699 nucleotides. RefSeq lists it as uncharacterized. The transcript has 4 exons. The record is from RefSeq and is a predicted model, not a curated record. Lineage: Eukaryota; Viridiplantae; Streptophyta; Magnoliopsida; Solanales; Solanaceae.
UCACAAAAUAUAAUGAUUUUUGCAGGGUCUGGGACCUUAUUCGACCGGCAUAAAGAAAGCCGAAAAGGAAAUCAAGGAAAUGGCCAAAAAGAUAAAUGAUUUACGCGGUAUUAAGGAGUCUGACACUGGGUUAGCUGCACCAAGUCAAUGGGAUCUGGUUUCUGAUAAACAGAUGAUGCAGGCGGAGCAACCUCUUCAGGUUGCCAGCUGUACAAAGGUAAUUAGCCCCAACACUGAAGAUGCAAAAUACGUGAUAAACGUCAAGCAAAUUGCAAAGGAGCUGUUAUAAGAAGUGUGUGCACGGAGGCUGGAAUGUAUGCUAUUCGAGCAAGGAAGAAAACUGUUACAGAGAAAGACUUUUUGGAUGCCGUCAACAAGGUCAUUAAGGGAUAUCAGAAAUUCCAUGCAACACCGAAGUAUAUGGUCUACAAUUAGUUGGACUACAUUUUCUUUGGUACAAACAAUCAAGCAUUGGCAGGAAUGAAGUGACAUUGCUAUUUGCCAUUUAGUUAUCCCGUGUACUCAAUUUGAUGAUUUAUGCUGUCCACUAAGAUUUUAUUACCUAUUUAUUCAUCUUUGGUGUGCUCCUGUUUGUUGCCAACAAAGAUACAGGACCAACUUCUGCGUUGUAAUGCCUGAUGACUUGGUGUUUUGAGUUAAAAUCUAAGAGCUGUAAUGAUAGCUAGCUUUCCCUCGUUA